UACGUAGGGUGCAAGCGUUGUCCGGAAUUAUUGGGCGUAAAGAGCUCGUAGGCGGCCUGUCACGUCGGCUGUGAAAACCCGGGGCUCAACCCCGGGCCUGCAGUCGAUACGGGCAGGCUAGAGUCCGGCAGGGGAGAGCGGAAUUCCGGGUGGAGUGGUGAAAUGCGUAGAGAUCCGGAGGAACACCGAAGGCGAAGGCAGUGUCCUGGGGAGUACCUGACGCUCAGGUGCGAAAGCCAGGGGAGCGAACGGG
This 253-nucleotide ribosomal RNA is filed under the name uncultured bacterium. RNAcentral's name for it is "partial 16S ribosomal RNA". It matches the Rfam family "Bacterial small subunit ribosomal RNA", at positions 524 to 776 of the family's 1533-position model. The record is from RNAcentral.